RNAcentral lists this ribosomal RNA (484 nucleotides) under uncultured bacterium. RNAcentral's name for it is "partial 16S ribosomal RNA". It matches the Rfam family "Bacterial small subunit ribosomal RNA", at positions 30 to 507 of the family's 1533-position model. The record is from RNAcentral.
AUUGAACGCUGGCGGCAGGCCUAACACAUGCGAGUCGAGCGGAUGAAGGGAGCUUGCUCCUGGAUUCAGCGGCGGACGGGUGAGUAAUGCCUAGGAAUCUGCCUGGUAGUGGGGGAUAACGUCCGGAAACGGGCGCUAAUACCGCAUACGUCCUGAGGGAGAAAGUGGGGGAUCUUCGGACCUCACGCUAUCAGAUGAGCCUAGGUCGGAUUAGCUAGUUGGUGGGGUAAAGGCCUACCAAGGCGACGAUCCGUAACUGGUCUGAGAGGAUGAUCAGUCACACUGGAACUGAGACACGGUCCAGACUCCUACGGGAGGCAGCAGUGGGGAAUAUUGGACAAUGGGCGAAAGCCUGAUCUAGCCAUGCCGCGUGUGUGAAGAAGGUCUUCGGAUUGUAAAGCACUUUAAGUUGGGAGGAAGGGCAGUAAGUUAAUACCUUGCUGUUUUGACGUUACCAACAGAAUAAGCACCGGCUAACUUCGUG